RNAcentral lists this long non-coding RNA (156 nucleotides) under Mus spicilegus (steppe mouse). RNAcentral's name for it is "lncRNA (ENSMSIG00000003763.1)". Lineage: Eukaryota; Metazoa; Chordata; Mammalia; Rodentia; Muridae. The record is from RNAcentral.
CAGCUCCUGAACGAAACAGGAAAAACCCAUCCAUCUAUAGUGUGUUUAGACAUGGUUUCUAUGGAGAAGAAACAGUCUGGUUGCUUGGAAGGUACCCGGAAAUGAAAUGAAAUGUCACCCAAUGCAGUAGACACACCUCACUGCUGUCGUCUGCCC